RNAcentral lists this ribosomal RNA (496 nucleotides) under uncultured bacterium. RNAcentral describes it as "partial 16S ribosomal RNA". It matches the Rfam family "Bacterial small subunit ribosomal RNA", at positions 29 to 507 of the family's 1533-position model. The record is from RNAcentral.
AUGCACGCUGGCGGCGUGCCUAAUACCUGCAAGUCGCGCGAACAGACGAGGAGCUUGCUCCUCUGACGUUAGUGGCGGACGGGUGAGUAACACGUGGAUAACCUACCUAUAAGACUGGGAUAACUUCGGGAAACCGGAGCUAAUACCGGAUAAUAUAUUGAACCGCAUGGUUCAAUAGUGAAAGACGGUUUUGCUGUCACUUAUAGAUGGAUCCGCGCCGCAUUAGCUAGUUGGUAAGGUAACGGCUUACCAAGGCAACGAUGCGUAGCCGACCUGAGAGGGUGAUCGGCCACACUGGAACUGAGACACGGUCCAGACUCCUACGGGAGGCAGCAGUAGGGAAUCUUCCGCAAUGGGCGAAAGCCUGACGGAGCAACGCCGCGUGAGUGAUGAAGGUCUUCGGAUCGUAAAACUCUGUUAUUAGGGAAGAACAAAUGUGUAAGUAACUAUGCACGUCUUGACGGUACCUAAUCAGAAAGCCACGGCUAACUACGUG